Molecule: ribosomal RNA, 573 nt
Filed under: uncultured bacterium
Lineage: Bacteria
Description: partial 16S ribosomal RNA
Rfam family: Bacterial small subunit ribosomal RNA
Source: RNAcentral
UGGGGAAUAUUGCACAAUGGGCGAAAGCCUGAUGCAGCGACGCCGCGUGAGGGAUGACGGCCUUCGGGUUGUAAACCUCUUUCAGCAGGGAAGAAGCGAAAGUGACGGUACCUGCAGAAGAAGCGCCGGCUAACUACGUGCCAGCAGCCGCGGUAAUACGUAGGGCGCAAGCGUUGUCCGGAAUUAUUGGGCGUAAAGAGCUCGUAGGCGGUUAGUCGCGUCUGCUGUGAAAACUCGAGGCUCAACCUCGGGCUUGCAGUGGGUACGGGCUGACUAGAGUGCGGUAGGGGUGACUGGAAUUCCUGGUGUAGCGGUGGAAUGCGCAGAUAUCAGGAGGAACACCGAUGGCGAAGGCAGGUCACUGGGCCGCAAACUGACGCUGAGGAGCGAAAGCAUGGGGAGCGAACAGGAUUAGAUACUCUGGUAGUCCAUGCCGUAAAACGUUGGGCACUAGGUGUGGGGUCCAUUCCACGGAUUCCGUGCCGCAGCAAACGCAUUAAGUGCCCCGCCUGGGGAGUACGGCCGCAAGGCUAAAAACUCAAAAGGAAUUGACGGGGGUCAUAGCUGUUUCCU